AAGUCGUAACAAGGUAUCCGUAGGUGAACCUGCGGAUGGAUCAUUACCAAUUUCUAUAUUAUAAAACUGCUCAAGCCCCGCAACGGGUUUGGGCAACUUUUAUAAAUGUAAAUUGUUGAACCUGUUAUAUUAUUCUGUGUGGUUCAGUGUUAUUACUUGGCCACCAGCAUUUAUAAAAUCUAAAACAUUUUAUAUUAACUACUACCAUAUAUUAACAACUAUAUAUAAUACUUUUUAUAGCCCACAAGCUGUAAAAAACAACUAAUAUAAAAAACAACUUUCAACAAUGGAUCUCUAGGCUCUC
Molecule: unclassified non-coding RNA, 304 nt
Filed under: fungal sp.
Lineage: Eukaryota; Fungi
Description: partial internal transcribed spacer region
Rfam family: Eukaryotic small subunit ribosomal RNA (bases 1-46)
Source: RNAcentral